Amphiprion ocellaris (clown anemonefish) is the source of this 1277-nucleotide long non-coding RNA. NCBI's taxonomy places the organism in Eukaryota, Metazoa, Chordata, Actinopteri, Pomacentridae. The record is from Ensembl.
GGCGGAACCAAUGAUUGGGUUGGCCAUUGCAGCUGGGGGUUCAGAUUGACUGACGGACGUACCUCCAGUGCACUCCUGGACAGGUACGCGCUGUGCAGCACGCGAAACACUGUGUUUGGGUGCUGGAUUUUUUCCUGAUGAAGGUUUAAUACCUAAACAUUCCAUCCUGCUGCCAUCUGGUAAACAACACACCUGGUCGUCCAUGCGAUGUAAAAGAAAACGUGAUCUUCAGACCAAAGAACUACAGACUCUUCACAACCUGCUCAAACUCUUGGUACAGGACCUCACCACACGGGUCAAGAAGGUUUCUCUCUCAUUUCUACUCUGAAGCUCACCUUCUCCUGCUCAAACUGCUGACAAAUGUUUCUGCUGCGCUAAAGUCUGGUCUCCAGAACUUCCUAAAAACUCUCAAAGUCUCUUCUGCUGCAGGUUGCUUUGUAGAACUGUUCCAGAAAACCUCACUAAACCACAUGGAGGGGCCUCAAGAUAGUCAUCCAAAUGAAACCAUACAAAAACCAAACUAGCACAACCUAAACACUAAAGUCUCCUGCAGCCUACCAGAGAACCUCUGAGAACAGAGAAUCAGGACAGGAACUCUUACCUUCUGGACAACCAACGUUGGUUCACCAACAAGAAUACAGAAUGUGUCUGACCAAAAACCUCUGAAGACUCACUACAGCCAAGAUAAAGACACAACUCACCUGCACCAAAUCCACUAAUCAUUGCACACAUUAACACCAUGUGCUAACUGUGGCUAAAGAACCACAUUUACCAAGACAACUAUCCAGUACAAAGCCCUAAAACACACCAAGAAACACAUUAAAGAUGAUUUUACUGCUGGAAGCUGCAAGCCAACGCCUAAAGAACAAACUAAAGCAAUGGAGCCAAACCCGGUUUAGUGGUGAAGAGAAGCAGAAGAAAUGUUUGUCUGCAGCUAAAUAAAGCAGGAAGACACCGAGCUGCUCAGGUGUUCCUGAUAACACCAAGCAGCCACCUGGACAGCCAAUAGGAACACAGCUUCCUGGAAGUUUUGCACAGACAAUUUGCACAGACAUUCUUGCACUGCACAUCUUUGCACUUUUAAACUUUAUUUUUAUUUUUAUUUUUUCUGUUAAAAAUUUUGCCACCCUUGUAUAUAUUGUAAAUAAAACUGCUGUAACAAUGUAAAUUUCCCCUGGAGUGGGGAGAAAUAAAGAACUUUAUCUUUAUCUUAUCUUAAGUCCAGAGGGCUGGCUUAGUGAAGUAAAUUUAGUUUAAAGUUGAAGCAGAAAGUUAAC